Molecule: long non-coding RNA, 3957 nt
Filed under: Triticum aestivum (bread wheat)
Lineage: Eukaryota; Viridiplantae; Streptophyta; Magnoliopsida; Poales; Poaceae
Description: long non-coding RNA (TAES_LNC012974)
Source: RNAcentral
AAAAACUCAAGUAGGCAAAGUUCUCCUUUGCGGAUCUUGGUCUUGCAUUCCUGAAACCGAACAAAAGAUAAUAAGCACGUCAAAUUAUCAGCGACUACGAUAACAUUCUGGACACUUGAAAUGUUAUUUGUAGCAUCAAGAGAUACUUCUCAAGUUCGAAUCCACCUCAGAAUGAAGAAUGAAAAAAGCGUCAAGCAGGUGCAAGCUUGACCCUUUUUCAAUUCACUGCUCGAACUUUUUGUUAGAAAAAGCAGUAGUAGCUCAGCUCGAGAUAGGGUUGAGCUUCAUAGGUUAGUGUGCACCAAGACUCGAGGCAACGCAUCAGCUUAAUAGAAGCUCCUCAGAUGGAGAAGGAUCUUUUAUUUAGCACAAUCCAUCACGCAUACUGAGUUGCCAGGUGCAAAAUAUCAUCUGUGAACAGAACAUAAUCUGAAAAUGGAGACAGAUAGAUCGGACUCUGGACAUAGACAGCUUUUUCAAGCAUAAACAUACAAGGAUUCUUACAAACAGGGCAGAGCAGCAACUGAUCCAGUUACGCAUAUACAUAAACAUCCUUAUCCAGUACCCAAUAAACUUGUGACUGACUGAAAACCAAGUUUGUGCACACUAAGAUAGGCUUUGCCAGAAAAGUACUGUGAUCUAAAGACCUUCCGGAUAUCCCUUUUUCUUCACAUGGCGUCCCUGUUCAAAGCAACACAGAACAAGGAUCAGGAUGGACAUAAUUGAGCAUGACAAGGAUCUGGAGAACUGAGAAGUAGUUCUACAAAUGGAGGUCCAACUCUAUGCAGUACCCAAAAGUCAAAACGAUAAAACUGUUCAUAUAAUAAAUGCCCUGACCCUUGAUAUCCCUCCCAAACUACAAGCGGGUUAUAGAGGGGAAAACCACGCCCAGGUACCAUACUUUUUAGAUUGGAUUUAUUAUACACUAUUUGUCAUAUAAAAGGAAAAUCUUCAUUGACACAUAUAUGAAACGGAAAGCAUACAUAACCAUGAGCAUACGAUUCAUAAUUGAAAUCCAUGUGAGAGACAGCAUGCUUCAGCUUACAGACAUGACACAUCGAUUCCGUUAUACAACAAAACUCCGAACAUACAAAGGAUUGAUACUCUGAGGUAUAUUAGCUUGACGACCACAGUUCAUAGGCUAACCCCUGUCCCUCUAGGUUCUCUUAGCUAUCCUUGAUUGCCCGUUGUGAUAUCACCGACCAUGCGCUCAUGCACAGGGGACACCUCUAUUAUGAAUGUUUCUCCUCUAUGAUAACUCAAAUAAAAACUUCAAUUGAAGCUGUUUCGCGAAAAACGAACGUACCUACACAAAACAAGCAUCAUCCAAGCAGCAGAAGAACAAUUAUCUGUACUAUCAUACCUCCACGGAGUACAUAGCAGACACAUCCGACAUGUAACUCAAAGACAUGUUUUUUUUUUGGAAAUGUAAGAACUAAACAGUUUAGGAAUUAAUCAAAUUCAUGCACUGGAAUCUUAAAAGAAUGUAUCACACAUCACCUUUUAAAUUGGUAAGAAAGCAAAAAAGAUAUGCACGUAGAUUUACUUCACCUGCUCAACCAACAUUGUACAGUAGAAGAUCUCAUGUGCUUACAGUUUCAGGUUGACCCAUUUCCACCCAACUCCCCUGCCUGCCAGAAAAAAGAAGGCCAAUUCAAGGAGAAGUUGAAUCAACUAGAAGACAUGUGUGCAAAACGUUUUUAUAUAUGAUGUAACUUUAUAGGAAGGGAUAGUAGCAUUUGUGAAUGACAGUAAAAAAUAAAGCCGCCAGGACUGAUCAUAAUCUUUUGCCAAGACAUGUUAAAACUGUUUGACUGUUCACAGAAAUUGUGUUCAUCCAAAAUUAUUGUCGAGAGAGCUUGUACCAUGUACGCUCAAUGGGCCAAACAAAAUAUUCACAUAUUUAGAAACCUCUGACAAUGAGUAUUUACUUGGUACAUCAGAAAUUAAUGAAUUCGUACAAUUUUUGGAUCAGAAAGUAAAUACAUGCUGUUAUGAAUCGAUUGAUUGAUAUCAAGAUAUUUUUAUCUUGCAAGGAUAAGUAUUAAAUGAAAAACAUAACAAACUUUAAACUUCCACAAGUGAUUCGAAUAAAUCAUGUUAGGUACACACAAGGUACAGAGUUAGCUUAAUAUGAAGGUAUUACCCGCAGUAUAGAAAUUUCUGUGCAAAACAAACUAGCCUCAACAAGAGCAAUACAUAGAUCAUGUAAAGGCCAAAGGGAAAACCUUGCUUGAUCAUCCUUGAGCGCAGGGAAUAUGGGCGGCCAAAUCAUCAUAAAAGGAUAGAUAGCACUGAAAUGUCGAUCCUUUUCUGUCAUCCCAUGCACUUUAUGUAGUGUCCUGCUAGUGACGUCCAGAUAGAGUAUGCAUCCACACAUUGUCUUCAAGAACACAAACUGAACAUUAUCUCCCACCUGGCUUAUAUAGGCGUAACUAAUAUCCUCGUCCUCGAGCGUGUGAUCUCGCAUCCUCAAAUUAGCCCACAUCUGAUGCAAACAAAGGGUAUCGACCAGCAACCAGUUGUCCCCCUUGUGGAGCCAGAUGCAAAGUUGAUGCUCCUUGACAUGGACAUGGAUGAGAUAUAGACCGGAAGCAUCAUCAGCCGGAGACAAGAUGGCAUGAAGAGUGUGAUACUUCACUCCUUGUGGGAGCAGAAUUCUGGAAAAACUCGAGGUCGCCAAAUCCAAGACAAUAAUGUCAUUACUGAGGACGUCAGCCAUAUAAAUUUUAUCAUCAACAAGCACAGCUUUCAGUGCCGGCAGCGUAUGAGGGAGUUGUGUUGUGGCCGAGGUAUGCAUGCACCAGACGCCGCCUUGCAACAUAUACACGCGCACCUUGAAAGUUUUUGUUUGCCUAGUACACUCCGCCAACACAUACAGGUAGGACAACCCAUCGCCUUCUUGUUUGGAGAGGAUUGCACCAAGAAGUUUUUGAAUGCAGUUCUGAGCGGCUGGGAGUGUUGGGAUUUAGUCCAUGUCUCGUUCAGGGCACAAUGGGCGGUAAACUCCAUGUGUCACUUCUGUUCCUUUAUGGUACCGGGUGAAGAUGCUGCCAUUCUGGCAGUGCAUGAUCCAUAUUCCGUCAUCGUAGGCGUCGAAGCUAUGGCUUGCCACACGACGGACAACGUUGUCGAGCUCCGGGGGCUGGGGCUGCAUUGGGACGAAGUGUGGAGUACCAUACAACCCCAACCCGGUCCACUUUACGUCGAUGUAUAAGCCAAGGAGGCGGGGUGGGUUGCGCUUGCGGAAACGGCAGAGGAACCCGCGGUCUGAGGCGUGGUGGUACCAGCGCUUGCAGACGAGGGCGGCGUGGACGAGGGUGGUAGGGAAGCCGACACGGAUGAGGAUCUCGAUGAGGAGGUUGUCGUCGUUAAGCACCUCGCACUGGCCCAUGGAUGUCUGGGAAUGCUGCUGUUGAUUGCCAUCCACACAUGGUUUCUUCUUGGGAUGGACACUGAGACAUUGGCGCCAACAAAAGAAAAAUGCAAACUGGCGUCAAUUUCUUGAAGCAACUGCCGGGGCAAAACAUCCAACACACAACAUCCAGCGGAACGGACUAAAGGAAAGAAACUGUUGGGGGGGAUAGAAAGAGAUGGGGGGGAUUGGAGGUCUCACCGUUGGGGAAUCGCCUCCGGAGCAUCCAUCGAUCCUCCUUCCCGCCUCAGCUAGGCUCCGCACUGAACAAGUAGAUGCAAUUACGGUAAUUUGGGGACAAAUCACAAAACUGUAGCUAGGGUUCGAUUCCGCGAGAAGAGAAGAGAAAAGAAAAGAAAAAGGAAACUGAGAGAUUACAGGAAGAAGAAGAAGAACUCACAUCGAUCGAAUCGGGAGAGAGAGGUAAAGCUGAAGCCUUCAGUGGCCGCCGCCGGGAUCGCCGGAGAGAUGGCUGGGCGAAGUCGCCGGAGGACACAGAGCCUUUUCUUUUUCUUUGGAGUCACGGGGGCAGCUGGGUCAAU